GACGAACGCUGGCGGCGUGCUUAACACAUGCAAGUGGAGCGACGAACCAGGGCUUGCCCUGGGGCAAAGCCGCGAACGGGUGAGUAACACGUGGGUAACCUGCCCCGACGACUGGGACAACCCGGAGAAAUCCGGGCUAAUACCGGAUGUGCUCGCCACCCGCGAGGGUGGUCAGUAAAGGAAGCUUCGGCCUCCGCAUCGGGAUGGGCCCGCGGCCCAUUAGCUUGUUGGUGAGGUAAAGGCUCACCAAGGCCGCGAUGGGUAGCUGGUCUGAGAGGACGAUCAGCCACACUGGGACUGAGACACGGCCCAGACUCCUACGGGAGGCAGCAGUGGGGAAUCUUGCGCAAUGCGCGACAGCGUGACGCAGCAACGCCGCGUGGGGGAAGAAGGCUUUCGGGUUGUAAACCCCUUUCAGCAGGGACGAAGGUGUGGCGGUGAAUAGCCGUCCGCACUGACGGUACCUGCAUAAGAAGCCCCGGCUAACUACGUG
RNAcentral lists this ribosomal RNA (493 nucleotides) under uncultured bacterium. RNAcentral's name for it is "bacterial SSU rRNA". It matches the Rfam family "Bacterial small subunit ribosomal RNA", at positions 28 to 507 of the family's 1533-position model. The record is from RNAcentral.